UCGCCUUUGCCACAUGCAAGGCAAGUCAACGCUCAAGCAGCCACAAUGCUAUAGAAAUUAAUUGUUUUACUUUUAGAUUUGAGUUAAUUUGGUAAGUCAGAUUAUUAAUCGGGAUAUCAGGUAUGUGUGUUUCAUCUUUUGUUUAAAUUGGUCUUUGCAUUAUGGAGCUGCAGUUUAGAGCUGUUAUUAGUCAUAAAUAUUUUAAUAAGUGAAUUUGUUAUUUCAAUUAGUUUGUCUAGUUU
This 242-nucleotide small RNA is filed under the name Drosophila mojavensis. RNAcentral's name for it is "GI25928". Lineage: Eukaryota; Metazoa; Arthropoda; Insecta; Diptera; Drosophilidae. The record is from RNAcentral.